RNAcentral lists this ribosomal RNA (492 nucleotides) under Fusarium sp. NRRL 26794. RNAcentral's name for it is "LSU rRNA". It matches the Rfam family "Eukaryotic large subunit ribosomal RNA", at positions 109 to 624 of the family's 3401-position model. The record is from RNAcentral. Lineage: Eukaryota; Fungi; Ascomycota; Sordariomycetes; Hypocreales; Nectriaceae.
UCAAAUUUGAAAUCUGGCUCUCGGGCCCGAGUUGUAAUUUGUAGAGGAUACUUUUGAUGCGGUGCCUUCCGAGUUCCCUGGAACGGGACGCCAUAGAGGGUGAGAGCCCCGUCUGGUUGGAUGCCAAAUCUCUGUAAAGUUCCUUCGACGAGUCGAGUAGUUUGGGAAUGCUGCUCUAAAUGGGAGGUAUAUGUCUUCUAAAGCUAAAUACCGGCCAGAGACCGAUAGCGCACAAGUAGAGUGAUCGAAAGAUGAAAAGCACUUUGAAAAGAGAGUUAAAAAGUACGUGAAAUUGUUGAAAGGGAAGCGUUUAUGACCAGACUUGGGCUUGGUUGAUCAUCUGGGGUUCUCCCCAGUGCACUCUUCCAGUCCAGGCCAGCAUCAGUUUUCCCCGGGGGAUAAAGACUUCGGGAAUGUGGCUCUCUUCGGGGAGUGUUAUAGCCCGUUGUGUAAUACCCUGGGGGGGACUGAGGUUCGCGCAUCUGCAAGGAU